GCUGUUAAAUAAUACAAACACAAACAUCUAUGAAUCAACCAAACAAAUCAUUUGACAAACUAAGUAGUUAUGCGAUCGAACAGUAACAAUACUAUAAUAAGUACCGUAAGGGAAAACUAUAAGCAAUAAAUAGCAAAGAUUAACCCUUGUACCUUUUGCAUCAUGGUUUAGCAAGCCACCCAAGGACAUGAAGAAUCACAGCCCACACUCCCGAAACCAGAUGAGCUACUUCCGAGCAGCCUAAGGGGCAAACCCUUCUCUGUAGCAAAAGAGUGGGAAGACUUGAAAGUAGCGGUGAAACGCCUACCGAAUCUGGAGAUAGCUNGCUACCCCAAAAAGAAUCUAAGUUCUACUUUAGACCAAACCAUAACCACUUAUCCAACUAAAGACAGUCAAUAGGGGUACAGCUCUAUUGACACAGGAUUCAACCUGCAUCCGAGAGAAAUACAAUUAUUCAUUUAACCAGUANGCUUUAAAGCAGCCAUCUAACAAAAUAUCGUCAAAGAAUUAACAAAAAAAUUCAAACACUAAUAAAAAACUCCGAACAAACUAAAGGUAAACCCAUCUACAUGAGUACUAUUAUGCUAAAACUAAUAAUAAGACACCCCCUCUACCAACGCACCCCUCCACUAGAAACGGAUAAUCCACUAGCCAUUAACAGACCCAAACAGGCAACUAAUCAACCCAUACACACCCUCAUACAAACUGUGACACCAACACAGGCGCGUUAAAAAGAAAGAUAAAACAUUAUAAAAGGAACUCGGCAACCAAAGACCCCAACUGUUUAACAAAAACAUAACCUUUAGCCAAACAAAUAUUAAAGGCAACGCCUGCCCAGUGAACAAUUAAACGGCCGCGGUACCCUAACCGUGCAAAGGUAGCGUAAUCACUUGUCUAUUAAUUGUAGACCCGUAUGAAAGGCAAAAUGAGGGUCUGUCUGUCUCUUAUAAUAAAUCAAUUAAACUGAUCUUCCAGUAAAAAAGCUGAAAUACACACAUAAGACCAGAAGACCCUGUGAAGCUUUAACUAAACUAUUAAACCCAAUAAUACCUACUUUCGGUUGGGGCGACCUUGGAAAAAARAAGAACUUCCAAACACAUGACCACAAAUCAUAUACAGGCCUACAAGCCUAUAACAGACCCAGUAUAGCUGAUAAUUGAACCAAGUUACUCCAGGGAUAACAGCGCCAUCUUCUUCAAGAGUCCAUAUCAAAAAGAAGGUUUACGACCUCGAUGUUGGAUCAGGACAUCCUAAUGGUGCAGCCGCUAUUAAGGGUUCGUUUGUUCAACGAUUAACAGUCCUACGUGAUCUGAGUUCAGACCGGAGCAAUCCAGGUCGGUUUCUAUCUAUGAUACGCUCUGCCUAGUACGAAAGGACCGGCAUAGCAGAGCCAAUACCACAAGCACGCUCUUAACACCAUCAAAAAUUAAUACAAUACAACACAUUUUCCCAAACCAAGAAAAGGUUAAUUAAGGACAACCCUUA
Molecule: ribosomal RNA, 1485 nt
Filed under: Hypsiglena unaocularus (Islas Revillagigedo nightsnake)
Lineage: Eukaryota; Metazoa; Chordata; Lepidosauria; Squamata; Dipsadidae
Description: 16S ribosomal RNA
Rfam family: Bacterial large subunit ribosomal RNA
Source: RNAcentral